RNAcentral lists this ribosomal RNA (451 nucleotides) under uncultured bacterium. RNAcentral's name for it is "bacterial SSU rRNA". It matches the Rfam family "Bacterial small subunit ribosomal RNA", at positions 29 to 524 of the family's 1533-position model. The record is from RNAcentral.
AGCGAACGCUGGCGGCAGGCUUAACACAUGCAAGUCGAGCGGGCGUAGCAAUACGUCAGCGGCAGACGGGUGAGUAACGCGUGGGAACGUACCUUUUGGUUCGGAACAACACAGGGAAACUUGUGCUAAUACCGGAUAAGCCCUUACGGGGAAAGAUUUAUCGCCGAAAGAUCGGCCCGCGUCUGAUUAGCUAGUUGGUGUGGUAACGGCGCACCAAGGCGACGAUCAGUAGCUGGCUGAGAGGAUGAUCAGCCACAUUGGGACUGAGACACGGCCCAAACUCCUACGGGAGGCAGCAGUGGGGAAUAUUGGACAAUGGGCGCAAGCCUGAUCCAGCCAUGCCGCGUGAGUGAUGAAGGCCCUAGGGUUGUAAACUGCUUUUAUAUGGGAAGAUUAUGACGGUACCAUAUGAAUAAGGACCGGCUAACUACGUGCCAGCCGCCGCCGUAAU